AUUGAACGCUGGCGGCAGGCCUAACACAUGCAAGUUGAGCGGUAACAGGAAAUAGCUUGCUAUUUUGCUGACGAGCGGCGGACGGGUGAGUAACGCGUAGGAAUUUGCCCAGUAGUGGGGGAUAGCCCGGAGAAAUUCGGAUUAAUACCGCAUACGCCCUAAGGGGGAAAGCAGGGGAUCUUCGGACCUUGCGCUAUUGGAUAAGCCUGCGUGAGAUUAGCUAGUUGGUAAGGUAACGGCUUACCAAGGCAACGAUGUCUAGGGGGUCUGAGAGGAUUAUCCCCCACACUGGUACUGAGACACGGACCAGACUCCUACGGGAGGCAGCAGUGAGGAAUAUUGGUCAAUGGACGCAAGUCUGAACCAGCCAUGCCGCGUGCAGGAAGACGGCCCUACGGGUUGUAAACUGCUUUUAUAUAGGAAUAAACCCCCUGAACGUGUUCGGGGCUGAAGGUACUAUAUGAAUAAGGAUCGGCUAACUCCGUGCCAGCAGCCGCGGU
Molecule: ribosomal RNA, 500 nt
Filed under: uncultured bacterium
Lineage: Bacteria
Description: bacterial SSU rRNA
Rfam family: Bacterial small subunit ribosomal RNA
Source: RNAcentral